This 1099-nucleotide long non-coding RNA is filed under the name Notechis scutatus (mainland tiger snake). RNAcentral's name for it is "lncRNA (ENSNSUG00000017688.1)". The record is from RNAcentral. Lineage: Eukaryota; Metazoa; Chordata; Lepidosauria; Squamata; Elapidae.
GAAACAACCUCAUUAGGAAAACAUACUCGAUGAAUUCAGACAAGGUUCUCUGCUUAGUUGAACUGUUAAGAAGACUUAAUGUCCAGUCUGGAACAACUCUCGGACGUGGACCCGACAGACCUGGUCAUGGCGAAGACAAGAGCCAAGAGGGGACCGAAAAAACUGACCUCCUGAGUAAGGGACAGGCCCCCUCAGUAAGGGACAAGCCGACUGCUCCUCAACAGGACCCACUGGCAACGAGCGUAGAAAGACCCGUGCAUGCAGUGGCAAUGCCGGACGUGGAAACAAUCCCGGACCCAUCAACAGUGACCGGCAAGGAGCUGCCGCCGACCGAGGAAUUGUCCGAAAAAGUGAUUGAGCCCAACGAACCACCUCCAAAAUCACUUCAGAAUGAAGUUUCUGAGCUCUCAAAUCAUAUCAUGUCCCUUAAAGGAGUUGUAGAGGCAUUGGACAAGAAGAUGGACAGUCUCAUGGCGUUUAUGAAAACUCAACCCGACGUGACAGAAGUUAUCGGAGAUAUAGUCAAAGUCAACUCCAACAUUGUUGCUGUCGGAAAGAUUGUUGAUACCUUCACAGCUAAGUUUGGUGAUCUGGAAAAAGUGGUUUCUAAGCAAGGUGUUACUCUUGAAAAGAUUUCUGAAAAAAUGGACUUAAGAUCUGCUGUCCACACUCCUGAAGCACCAAUGGCCGCACCCAGCGCGCCGCCAGUCACAGCUCUCUAUCCAGAGUUACCUGACAAAGCAUCAAGUGGGGGGACUCCCAGAACUCCCUUUUAAGAGGUCUCUACUUCGAUUUAAAAAAAAAAAAAAAGGGAAGAACGAACUUAUGAGGCAGGCGAGGAUAAGGAAAUGGGUCGGACUCGACGCCUAGCUGGAAUUUCGGGGAGAAAAAGCGGGAAACACAAAGACUUUUGAUUCUGAUGAAAGAAUAAUGAUAAAUAAUACAUAAGCGCACCAACAUCCCUGUUCUAUUGAUUCUUUUUAUUUUUCUUAUAUGUAUCCAUUUCAUGUAUUCGUAACUGUGUUUAUACUUAUACCUAUUAUCUUGUAAGCGAUUGACAAAUCAAAUAAAUAAAUAAAGUCAGGCUGCGGAAAAGCCA